UAGAGUACUAGUCAUGACUCAAUGAGUGUCGUACUAAUUUCAUAUCCACACAAAUUUACAGUACAAAAACAUUCCGCCAUUCAAAUCAAUCUUUCACUUGCCUUUAUUUAUUCCUAAUUCUUCACCUCUCCCGCCUUGAAAUUUAUACUAUAUAAUCAGGAAUAUAUUUAACUAUUGCAAGUUACAAAAGUAUUAACCGGAUCAGCAAAAUAAAGAAGAAGAUAAAUGCGGACUGAAAAUUAACAAGCGUCCGAAGCUCUUUUAUCCUUGCUAAAAUAUGGUCCAGCAAUAUUCAGCCUGUUUCGAGAUUCACUUCAUUCAUUUUUGGAGAAAAGAUUCAGCACUCCUACUUUUUCAGGAUUGAAAGGUAGACCAUGAUGCUACGUACUUUCAGCAGGAGGACUGUUAUAAUGACCACAAAAAUUGAAAAUUCUUCUUUGUUUAUACGAGAACAAAUGUUGAAGUGCUUAAUCCGGGCAUUUUGGGAUGCAGAUUCCUCCAAUAUUCGUUCUUCAAGGCAAGGUAAUCUAUAAGUUUCCAGUUGAAACCUAAUAUAUAAAAUAUUGCUUUUGGUUCUUCCAUAUAUUCCAGAUGAUGCUAUAAGUUGUGAUGGAAACUCAGUAGCAACUUUUAGUGAAUAUAAAUACUGCAUAUUUUGGAAAUAUUCGGUAAUAUUAACUGGAAAUCUAGCUUAA
This is a non-coding RNA of Nicotiana tabacum (common tobacco), 695 nucleotides long. Lineage: Eukaryota; Viridiplantae; Streptophyta; Magnoliopsida; Solanales; Solanaceae. The record is from RefSeq and is a predicted model, not a curated record.